GACGAACGCUGGCGGCGUGCUUAACACAUGCAAGUCGAACGGAAAGGCCCUGCUUGCAGGGUACUCGAGUGGCGAACGGGUGAGUAACACGUGGGUGAUCUGCCCUGCACUUCGGGAUAAGCCUGGGAAACUGGGUCUAAUACCGGAUAGGAGCCAUUUUUAGUGUGAUGGUUGGAAAGUUUUUUCGGUGUAGGAUGAGCUCGCGGCCUAUCAGCUUGUUGGUGGGGUAAUGGCCUACCAAGGCGGCGACGGGUAGCCGGCCUGAGAGGGUGGACGGCCACAUUGGGACUGAGAUACGACCCAGACUCCUACGGGAGGCAGCAAUGGGGAAUAUUGCACAAUGGGCGCAAGCCUGAUGCAGCGACGCCGCGUGGGGGAUGACGGCCUUCGGGUUGUAAACUCCUUUCGCUAGGGACGAAGCUUUUUGUGACGAUACCUAGAUAAGAAGCACCGGCUAACUACGUG
This 465-nucleotide ribosomal RNA is filed under the name uncultured bacterium. Its description in RNAcentral is "partial 16S ribosomal RNA". It matches the Rfam family "Bacterial small subunit ribosomal RNA", at positions 28 to 507 of the family's 1533-position model. The record is from RNAcentral.